GGACACACCUGGCAAUGGAUGUGACAUUCAGCACUGCUCAGGUUUCUUCCAUUUGGAGGAGGCAAAGUGAUGAAUGGAAGGAGGCAAUCCUCUGGCAGUGGGAUGCUAGGAAGUGAUAAUAAGGCAAGUUUGCUUGCUUGAAGGCUGCUGGUAUCUGUGAUUAGAAGCUGGUGGACGUCUCGUGAUGGACCUAACAGUAGCUUCUGGUGCAAUGGGACACUGUGACGGAAACCAGAGAACUUGACACAGGUGAGGUCUGACUAAAACAUAAUAGAAUGAUACAUCUGCAUCUUGCAAUCUUGACACUAGCCUUUUGUUUGUCUUCUAAAUCAUUGUAUGGUACUACUGACUACUAAUUUGUGGUCUAGAUCCUUUUCACAUGCACAGCUGUCAAGCCACAUGCAUCACAUCUUAGAUUUAUGUAUCUGAUUCUCCCUACCUAAGGAGAGAAUGUUACCUUAAUCUCUGCUGAAUUCAUUUUGUUAGCUUCAGCCCCGUUCCCUGUCCUGUCGAGAUAAUCUUGAAUUCUGUUUGUUGUCAUUUGCAAAUUUGAUAAACAUCUCCUCUAUUCCUUCAUUCAGGUAAUUUAUAGUGAUGCUAAACAACACAGAAGCACAGAGCAGAGCUAACUUGACGCGAGGAAAACUUUUACAGUACUUUGAAUCUGCAUGAAGCAAUUAUGCCUAUGCUUGCACUUAACCAAAAAUGUUAAAUGUGUGAAAUAUGUAACCGUUCGUCUGCACUGGAGAGCUGACAAGCUGAACUGUGAACUGAAUUGUGAAAGGCCAUGCAGAGUUGGCAGAAACUGGAAGAAGCAAAAGGAGAAGUGCAAUGUGCAGUUGAGAGAGGUCAAGGUAACAACGGAGGAGUAAUUAAGCUGGAUAGUCAGG
Non-coding RNA from Podarcis lilfordi (Lilford's wall lizard), 890 nucleotides. NCBI's taxonomy places the organism in Eukaryota, Metazoa, Chordata, Lepidosauria, Squamata, Lacertidae. The record is from the annotation of a GenBank genome assembly.